This 819-nucleotide ribosomal RNA is filed under the name uncultured bacterium. RNAcentral describes it as "bacterial SSU rRNA". It matches the Rfam family "Bacterial small subunit ribosomal RNA", at positions 48 to 916 of the family's 1533-position model. The record is from RNAcentral.
CUAACACAUGCAAGUCGAACGCAGUAGCAAUACUGAGUGGCAGACGGGUGAGUAACAUGUGGGAAUCUGCCUUGUGGUUCAGGACAACAUUGGGAAACCGAUGCUAAUACUGGAUAAGCCCUUACGGGGAAAGUUUUAAUGCCAUAAGAUGAGCCCGCAUUUGAUUAGUUAGUUGGUGAGGUAAUGGCUCACCAAGACAAUGAUCAAUAGCUGAUCUGAGAGGAUGAUCAGCCACACUGGGACUGAGACACGGCCCAGACUCCUACGGGAGGCAGCAGUGGGGAAUCUUGCACAAUGGAGGAAACUCUGAUGCAGCGAUGCCGCGUGAGUGAAGAAGGCCUUUGGGUUGUAAAGCUCUUUUGUAGGGGAAGAUAAUGACUGUACCCUAAGAAUAAGGUCCGGCUAACUUCGUGCCAGCAGCCGCGGUAAUACGAAGGGACCUAGCGUAGUUCGGAAUUACUGGGCGUAAAGCGCGCGUAGGCCGUUGAGUUAGUUAAUUGUGAAAUCCCAAAGCUUAACUUUGGAACUGCAAUUAAAACUGCUCGACUAGAGUUUGAUAGAGGAAAGCGGAAUACAUAGUGUAGAGGUGAAAUUCGUAGAUAUUAUGUAGAACACCAGUUGCGAAGGCGGCUUUCUGGAUCAACACUGACGCUGAGGCGCGAAAGUAUGGGUAGCAAAGAGGAUUAGAUACCCUCGUAGUCCAUACCAUAAACGAUGAUUGCUAGAUGUUGGAAAUUUAUUUUCAGUAUCGCAGCUAACGCAUUAAGCAAUCCGCCUGGGGAGUACGACCGCAAGGUUAAAACUCAAAUGAAUUGACGG